Molecule: ribosomal RNA, 253 nt
Filed under: uncultured bacterium
Lineage: Bacteria
Description: partial 16S ribosomal RNA
Rfam family: Bacterial small subunit ribosomal RNA
Source: RNAcentral
UACGAAGGGGGCGAGCGUUGUUCGGAAUCACUGGGCGUAAAGGGCGCGUAGGCGGCCCUCCUUGUCGCGUGUGAAAGCCCCGGGCUCAACCUGGGAACGGCGCGCGAGACGGGGGGGCUGGAGUUCGGGAGAGGAGCGUGAAAUUCCCAGUGUAGAGGUGAAAUUCGUAGAUAUUGGGAAGAACACCGGUGGCGAAGGCGGCGCUCUGGACCGAGACUGACGCUGAGGCGCGAAAGCGUGGGGAGCAAACAGG